RNAcentral lists this ribosomal RNA (618 nucleotides) under Blastocystis sp. Its description in RNAcentral is "SSU rRNA". It matches the Rfam family "Eukaryotic small subunit ribosomal RNA", at positions 1 to 629 of the family's 1831-position model. The record is from RNAcentral. Lineage: Eukaryota; Bigyra; Opalinata; Blastocystidae.
AUCUGGUUGAUCCUGCCAGUAGUCAUACGCUUGUUUCAAAGAUUAAGCCAUGCAUGUGUAAGUAUAAAUAAUUUUACUUUGAAACUGCGAAUGGCUCAUUAUAUCAGUUAUAGUUUAUUAGAAAUACUUUACUACUUGGAUAACCGUAGUAAUUCUAGGGCUAAUACAUGAAUAAAUCCUCAACUUCGGAAGAGGUGUGUUUAUUAGUAUGAAAACCAUAUAUCUUCGGAUAUAAUAGUGAGUAAUAAUAACCUUUCAUAUCGUAUGUCGUAAGAUAACGAUAGUUCUUUCAAGUUUCUGCCCUAUCAGCUUUCGAUGGUAGUAUAUGGGACUACCAUGGCAGUAACGGGUAACGAAGAAUUUGGGUUCGAUUUCGGAGAGGGAGCCUGAGAGAUGGCUACCACAUCCAAGGAAGGCAGCAGGCGCGUAAAUUACCCAAUCCUGACAUAGGGAGGUAGUGACAAUAAAUCACAAUGCGGAACUAUUUAGUUUUGCAAUUGGAUUGAGAACAAUGUACAAAUGUUAUCGAUAAACAAUUGGAGGGCAAGUCUGGUGCCAGCAGCCGCGGUAAUUCCAGCUCCAAUAGCGUAUAUUAACGUUGUUGCAGUUAAAAAGCUC